UAUUGGUCAAUGGAGGCAACUCUGAACCAGCCAUGCCGCGUGAAGGAUUAAGGCCCUCUGGGUUGUAAACUUCUUUUAUAGGGGAAGAAAUGUGUCGGUUCUCCGACACUUGACGGUACCCUAGGAAUAAGCACCGGCUAACUCCGUGCCAGCAGCCGCGGUAAUACGGAGGGUGCAAGCGUUAUCCGGAUUCACUGGGUUUAAAGGGUGCGUAGGUGGGCAGAUAAGUCAGUGGUGAAAUCUUCCGGCUUAACCGGAAAAUUGCCGUUGAUACUAUUUGUCUUGAAUAUUGUGGAGGUAAGCGGAAUAUGUCAUGUAGCGGUGAAAUGCUUAGAUAUGACAUAGAACACCAAUUGCGAAGGCAGCUUACUAUAUAAUUAUUGACACUGAGGCACGAAAGCGUGGGUAGCGAACAGG
RNAcentral lists this ribosomal RNA (417 nucleotides) under uncultured bacterium. RNAcentral describes it as "bacterial SSU rRNA". It matches the Rfam family "Bacterial small subunit ribosomal RNA", at positions 362 to 776 of the family's 1533-position model. The record is from RNAcentral.